GACGAACGCUGGCGGCGUGCCUAAUACAUGCAAGUUGAGCGCUGAAGGUUGGUACUUGUACCAACUGGAUGAGCAGCGAACGGGUGAGUAACGCGUGGGGAAUCUGCCUUUGAGCGGGGGACAACAUUUGGAAACGAAUGCUAAUACCGCAUAAAAACUUUAAACACAAGUUUUAAGUUUGAAAGAUGCAAUUGCAUCACUCAAAGAUGAUCCCGCGUUGUAUUAGCUAGUUGGUGAGGUAAAGGCUAACCAAGGCGAUGAUACAUAGCCGACCUGAGAGGGUGAUCGGACACAUUGGGACUGAGACACGGCCCAAACUCCUACGGGAGGCAGCAGUAGGGAAUCUUCGGCAAUGGACGAAAGUCUGACCGAGCAACGCCGCGUGAGUGAAGAAGGUUUUCGGAUCGUAAAACUCUGUUGGUAGAGAAGAACGUUGGUGAGAGUGGAAAGCUCAUCAAGUGACGGUAACUACCCAGAAAGGGACGGCUAACUACGUG
RNAcentral lists this ribosomal RNA (497 nucleotides) under uncultured bacterium. RNAcentral's name for it is "partial 16S ribosomal RNA". It matches the Rfam family "Bacterial small subunit ribosomal RNA", at positions 28 to 507 of the family's 1533-position model. The record is from RNAcentral.